GAACGCUGGCGGCAGGCCUAACACAUGCAAGUCGAGCGGAUGAAGGGAGCUUGCUCCUGGAUUCAGCGGCGGACGGGUGAGUAAUGCCUAGGAAUCUGCCUGGUAGUGGGGGAUAACGUCCGGAAACGGGCGCUAAUACCGCAUACGUCCUGAGGGAGAAAGUGGGGGAUCUUCGGACCUCACGCUAUCAGAUGAGCCUAGGUCGGAUUAGCUAGUUGGUGGGGUAAAGGCCUACCAAGGCGACGAUCCGUAACUGGUCUGAGAGGAUGAUCAGUCACACUGGAACUGAGACACGGUCCAGACUCCUACGGGAGGCAGCAGUGGGGAAUAUUGGACAAUGGGCGAAAGCCUGAUCCAGCCAUGCCGCGUGUGUGAAGAAGGUCUUCGGAUUGUAAAGCACUUUAAGUUGGGAGGAAGGGCAGUAAGUUAAUACCUUGCUGUUUUGACGUUACCAACAGAAUAAGCACCGGCUAACUUCGUG
This 481-nucleotide ribosomal RNA is filed under the name uncultured bacterium. RNAcentral describes it as "partial 16S ribosomal RNA". It matches the Rfam family "Bacterial small subunit ribosomal RNA", at positions 31 to 507 of the family's 1533-position model. The record is from RNAcentral.